Molecule: ribosomal RNA, 253 nt
Filed under: uncultured bacterium
Lineage: Bacteria
Description: partial 16S ribosomal RNA
Rfam family: Bacterial small subunit ribosomal RNA
Source: RNAcentral
UACGGAGGGGGCUAGCGUUGUUCGGAAUUACUGGGCGUAAAGCGCGCGUAGGCGGCUUUGUAAGUUAGAGGUGAAAGCCCGGAGCUCAACUCCGGAAUUGCCUUUAAGACUGCAUCGCUAGAAUCAUGGAGAGGUUAGUGGAAUUCCGAGUGUAGAGGUGAAAUUCGUAGAUAUUCGGAAGAACACCAGUGGCGAAGGCGACUUACUGGACGAUUGUUGACGCUGAGGUGCGAAAGCGUGGGGAGCAAACAGG